GUGGGGAAUCUUGCGCAAUGGGCGAAAGCCUGACGCAGCCAUGCCGCGUGAAUGAUGAAGGUCUUAGGAUUGUAAAAUUCAUUCACCGGGGACGAUAAUGACGGUACCCGGAGAAGAAGCCCCGGCUAACUUCGUGCCAGCAGCCGCGGUAAUACGAAGGGGGCUAGCGUUGCUCGGAAUUACUGGGCGUAAAGGGCGCGUAGGCGGACAGUUUAGUCAGAGGUGAAAGCCCAGGGCUCAACCUUGGAAUUGCCUUUGAUACUGGCUGUCUUGAGUACGGGAGAGGUGAGUGGAACUCCGAGUGUAGAGGUGAAAUUCGUAGAUAUUCGGAAGAACACCAGUGGCGAAGGCGACUCACUGGCCCGUUACUGACGCUGAGGCGCGAAAGCGUGGGGAGCAAACAGGAUUAGAAACCCUUGUAGUCC
RNAcentral lists this ribosomal RNA (425 nucleotides) under uncultured bacterium. Its description in RNAcentral is "bacterial SSU rRNA". It matches the Rfam family "Bacterial small subunit ribosomal RNA", at positions 354 to 796 of the family's 1533-position model. The record is from RNAcentral.